AAUAAAUAAAAUAAAAUAAAAUAAAAUAUAACAGAAAAUUUUUGGACAUGGGCCUCUCUCAUUUGAGCCCACAGGUCCACUAAAAUCAGGUUAUAAAUUCAGAGUUUCAGUGAAACAAAAGAAUUCUAUUCCUAUUACCCUGGCAGGGAAAAAGAUAGUGAGAGAAGAGCUAACAGAGUUCAGAGCAACCUCCAGAGACCGAAGGGAACUCAUCUGCAAAGAGCCAAUUCCA
RNAcentral lists this long non-coding RNA (232 nucleotides) under Lathyrus oleraceus (garden pea). Its description in RNAcentral is "Pisum sativum (pea) long non-coding RNA (PSAT_LNC012166)". The record is from RNAcentral. Lineage: Eukaryota; Viridiplantae; Streptophyta; Magnoliopsida; Fabales; Fabaceae.